GUGCCAGCAGCCGCGGUAAAACCAGCACCUCAAGUUGUCAGGAGGAUUAUUGGGCCUAAAGCAUCCGUAGCCUGCUCUGUAAGUUUCCGGUUAAAUCCAUUUGCUCAACAAAUGGGCUGCCGGAAAAACUGCAAAGCUAGGGAGUGGGAGAGGUAGACGGUACUCGGUAGGAAGGGGUAAAAUCCUUUGAUCUAUUGAUGACCACCUGUGGCGAAGGCGGUCUACCAGAACACGUUCGACGGUGAGGGAUGAAAGCUGGGGGAGCAAACCGGAUUAGAUACCCGGGUAGUCCCAGCUGUAAACGAUGCAGACUCGGUGAUGCGCUGGCUUGUGGCCAGUGCAGUGCCGCAGGGAAGCCGUUAAGUUUGCCGCCUGGGAAGUACGUACGCAAGUAUGAAACUUAAAGGAAUUGGCGGGGGAGCACCACAAGGGGUGAAGCCUGCGGUUCAAUUGGAGUCAACGCCAGAAAUCUUACCCGGAGAGACAGCAGAAUGAAGGUCAAGCUGAAGACUUUACCAGACAAGCUGAGAGGUGGUGCAUGGCCGUCGCCAGCUCGUGCCGUGAGAUGUCCUGUUAAGUCAGGUAACGAGCGAGAUCCCUGCCUCUAGUUGCCACCAUUACUCUCAGGAGUAGUGGGGCGAAUUAGCGGGACCGCCACAGUUAAUGUGGAGGAAGGAAGGGGCCACGGCAGGUCAGUAUGCCCCGAAACCCUGGGGCCACACGCGGGCUGCAAUGGUAGUGACAAUGAGUUCCGAAACCGAAAGGUGGAGGUAAUCUUCAAACGCUACCACAGUUAUGAUUGAGGGCUGCAACUCGCCCUCAUGAAUAUGGAAUCCCUAGUAACUGCGUGUCAUUAUCGCGCGGUGAAUACGUCCCUGCUC
Molecule: ribosomal RNA, 881 nt
Filed under: uncultured archaeon
Lineage: Archaea
Description: bacterial SSU rRNA
Rfam family: Archaeal small subunit ribosomal RNA
Source: RNAcentral